UUGCAGCCAUACCCAUAUCUAUAACAGAACAGCCAAUCAUUUGCUAUUUCCAAGAAGAUGUGGUUGCAGAAAAGUAAGUGAACCAUUUAUUUUCCCAAAAUUAAAUGUGUUGAUUGUGUUAAUUAUCUGAGCUUUAUUUUCCCAGCAUUCAGAUUGUUGCCUAGGAAGAUGUUCCAAGAGAGUACAUUUUUUGCAUUCAGGGUUGGGAAAAGGUCUAUUUCAAGCCCGAAGCAAUGCAGGAUUAUGACUUUUGAGGGCUU
Molecule: long non-coding RNA, 260 nt
Organism: Hevea brasiliensis (rubber tree)
Lineage: Eukaryota; Viridiplantae; Streptophyta; Magnoliopsida; Malpighiales; Euphorbiaceae
Exons: 3
Source: RefSeq, a predicted model, not a curated record